Molecule: ribosomal RNA, 164 nt
Filed under: Sideroxylon betsimisarakum
Lineage: Eukaryota; Viridiplantae; Streptophyta; Magnoliopsida; Ericales; Sapotaceae
Also listed under: 6 other names
Description: 5.8S ribosomal RNA
Rfam family: 5.8S ribosomal RNA
About the family: 5.8S ribosomal RNA (5.8S rRNA) is a component of the large subunit of the eukaryotic ribosome. It is transcribed by RNA polymerase I as part of the 45S precursor that also contains 18S and 28S rRNA.
Source: RNAcentral
AGAACGACUCUCGGCAACGGAUAUCUCGGCUCUCGCAUCGAUGAAGAACGUAGCGAAAUGCGAUACUUGGUGUGAAUUGCAGAAUCCCGUGAACCAUCGAGUCUUUGAACGCAAGUUGCGCCCGAAGCCGUCAGGCCGAGGGCACGCCUGCCUGGGCGUCUCAC